UACGGGGGAUGCAAGCGUUAUCCGGAAUCACUGGGCGUAAAGCGUCUGUAGGUGGUUUACUAAGUCUGCUGUUAAAUAUUAGGGCUCAACCCUAAGCAAGCAGUGGAAACUAUUAGACUAGAGUAUGGUAUAGGUAGAGGGAAUUCUCAGUGUAGCGGUGAAAUGCGUAGAUAUUGGGAAGAACACCAGAAGCGAAAGCGCUCUACUGGGCCAUUGCUGACACUCAGAGACGAAAGCUAGGGGAGCGAAUGGG
Molecule: ribosomal RNA, 253 nt
Filed under: uncultured bacterium
Lineage: Bacteria
Description: partial 16S ribosomal RNA
Rfam family: Bacterial small subunit ribosomal RNA
Source: RNAcentral